This 885-nucleotide ribosomal RNA is filed under the name Rhizoctonia solani. Its description in RNAcentral is "eukaryotic LSU rRNA". The stretch from base 252 to 405 matches the Rfam family "5.8S ribosomal RNA". The record is from RNAcentral. Lineage: Eukaryota; Fungi; Basidiomycota; Agaricomycetes; Cantharellales; Ceratobasidiaceae.
CGUAGGCGACUGCGGAUGACAUUAUUGAAUUUUAAUGAAGAGUUUGGUUGUAGCUGGCCCAUUCAUUUGGGCAUGUGCACACCUUUCUCUUUCAUCCCACACACACCUGUGAACCUGUGAGACAGACGGGGAAUUUACUUGUUGCUUUUUGGAAUACAAAGGCAAUAGGUUAUUGGACCCUCUGUCUACUCAAUUAAUAUAAACUCAAUUUAUUUUAAAACAAAUGUAAUGGAUGUAACACAUCUCAUACUAAGUUUCAACAACGGAUCUCUUGGCUCUCGCAUCAAUGAAGAACGCAACGAAAUGCGAUAAGUAAUGUGAAUUGCAUAAUUCAGUGAAUCAUCUAAUCUUUGAACGCACCUUGCGCUCCUUGGUAUUCCUUGGAGCAUGCCUGUUUGAGUAUCAUGAAUUCUUCAAAGUAAAUCUUUUGUUAACUCAAUUGGUUUCACUUUGGUAUUGGAGGUCUUUUGCAGCUUCACACCUGCUCCUCUUUGUUCAUUAGCUGGAUCUCAAUGUUAUGCUUGGUUCCACUCGGCGUGAUAAAUUAUCUAUCGCUGAGGACACUGUAAAAGGUGGCCAAGGUAAACGCAGAUGAACCGCUUCUAAUAGUCCAUUGACUUGGACAAUACCUUUAUGAUCUGAUCUCAAAUCACGUAGGACUACCCGCUGAACUUAAGCAUAUCAUGGGGCGCUAAACUGUAGUGAACCAUGGCUCUUUAGCUUGGCAUUUGAAUCGGCUUUGCUGUUGCGAAGUAGAGUGGCGGCUUCGGCUGCCGAGGGUCGAUCCAUUUGGGAAAUGUUGUGUACUUCGGUAUGCAUCUCAAUUGGACCUGAUAUCAGGCAAGAUUACCCGCUGAACUUAAGCAUAUCAAUAAACGGGAGGGA